This 892-nucleotide ribosomal RNA is filed under the name uncultured Bacteroidota bacterium. RNAcentral's name for it is "bacterial SSU rRNA". It matches the Rfam family "Bacterial small subunit ribosomal RNA", at positions 8 to 900 of the family's 1533-position model. The record is from RNAcentral. Lineage: Bacteria; Pseudomonadati; Bacteroidota.
AGGGUUUGAUCAUGGCUCAGGAUGAACGCUAGCGGCAGGCUUAACACAUGCAAGUCGAGGGGUAACAGGAGUAGCUUGCUAUUUGCUGACGACCGGCGCACGGGUGCGUAACGCGUAUAGAAUCUACCUUGUACUAGGGGAUAGCCUUUGGAAACGAAGAUUAAUACCCUAUAGUAAGUAUUUAUGGCAUCAUUUAUACUUUAAAGGUUACGGUACAAGAUGACUAUGCGUCCUAUUAGUUUGUUGGUGAGGUAACGGCUCACCAAGACUUCGAUAGGUAGGGGCCCUGAGAGGGGGAUCCCCCACACUGGUACUGAGACACGGACCAGACUCCUACGGGAGGCAGCAGUGAGGAAUAUUGGACAAUGGAGGCAACUCUGAUCCAGCCAUGCCGCGUGCAGGAUGACGGCCCUAUGGGUUGUAAACUGCUUUUAUGUAGGAAGAAACACUCUCACGUGUGAGAGCUUGACGGUACUACAAGAAUAAGGACCGGCUAACUCCGUGCCAGCAGCCGCGGUAAUACGGAGGGUCCAAGCGUUAUCCGGAAUCAUUGGGUUUAAAGGGUCCGUAGGCGGGCUAUUAAGUCAGAGGUGAAAGUUUGCAGCUCAACUGUAAAAUUGCCUUUGAAACUGGUAGUCUUGAAUUAUUAUGAAGUGGUUAGAAUAAGUAGUGUAGCGGUGAAAUGCAUAGAUAUUACUUGGAAUACCAAUUGCGAAGGCAGAUCACUAAUAAUAUAUUGACGCUGAGGGACGAAAGCGUGGGGAGCGAACAGGAUUAGAUACCCUGGUAGUCCACGCCGUAAACGAUGGAUACUAGCUGUUCGGAUUUAUCUGAGUGGCUAAGCGAAAGUGAUAAGUAUCCCACCUGGGGAGUACGUUCGCAAGAAUGAAAC